GUCUACGGCCAUGCCACCCUGAACAUGACUGAUCUUAUCUGAUCUCGAAAGCUAAGCAGGGUCAGGCCUGGUUAGUACUUAGAUGGGAGACCACCUAGGAAUACCAGGUGCUGUAGGCG
This 119-nucleotide ribosomal RNA is filed under the name Pteropus alecto (black flying fox). Lineage: Eukaryota; Metazoa; Chordata; Mammalia; Chiroptera; Pteropodidae. The record is from RNAcentral.